This 517-nucleotide long non-coding RNA is filed under the name Marmota monax (woodchuck). Lineage: Eukaryota; Metazoa; Chordata; Mammalia; Rodentia; Sciuridae. The record is from RNAcentral.
GUGGGUCUGCCAGCAUGAGUGUUUCCUCUGGGCCUGGGCCUGGGCUGGGUCUGCUCCGUGUCCUUUUGACUGCGGAAGGUGGAACUUGCUUCAGACUAAUUUAGGAGGUCCCGGGUGGACCCAAGGAAAGGCAGGGCCAGCAGGAACGAGAACCUGGAAACCAUCAGGAGUGGAGAAUGCCAGUGAGCAGGUGACUUGUGCCUCUUUCUCCUGAAGUCGACCAGGGUUCUCCUCCCCCACAGACUGGCCCUGGCUGCCCUCGGAGCACAGGGUUGUGAAGCGGGCAGCCUGCAGCUUUGGAAUCCUCGCCCCUCUUUCAGCUCCUUCUCCUGAGGGAUGAGGCACUCCUAGGUCUCCAACUCAAGCCCCUGGUUCAGGAGAGAACCUGUAUGGCCAGCCUUGGUCAAGUGGCCGCUCGAGGCCCACAGCUGAGGCCUGGCAGGCAGGCUGUCCCUGCAGACGGAGCUACCAGUGCCUACCCUGUCGGGGGUGAAGAAAGUUCUCGGGGGGAUUUAGG